Molecule: long non-coding RNA, 2285 nt
Filed under: Anas zonorhyncha (Eastern spot-billed duck)
Lineage: Eukaryota; Metazoa; Chordata; Aves; Anseriformes; Anatidae
Description: lncRNA (ENSAZOG00000003128.1)
Source: RNAcentral
GGGGGGAGGGAGAAGGUUCUAAAAGCAGUGCCUUGGCUUGUGGUUGAGCAGAAGAUUAAGUUGCACUUUGCUUAGCUUCAGUGCUAAACAACUGUGUUGUGGGUGGUUCUUUUUUCCAGCUCUUACGGAGAGCACUGACUGCAUCCCAACAUUACUUCCGCGUACGAAUGGGAACGCUGCUGGUGGGGCGCCCGCCCCAUGCUCUGGGAGCGUUUCCAUUCCUCUACGUUACUUGGCUCUUGAAAAACUUCGUCUCUCCCAACACCGGGUUCUUACAGUGUGUAUGAGACAAUGGCAGCUGGUAAGUGUACGUACCGAACCGUUCCCAGUACCCCGUGUAUUCCUAACCUGUCUGGGUCUUUCUCCAGUUGUAACCUCGUCAGUUUUGUGUGGGUCUUCAAAGCCAUCUGUGCUAUCCUCCACAUUCAAAGGUGACUGUACUUGCCAUAACUGCUUAGUGAUUACUUUUCUCUGAGGAGCUCCUGUUGGGGUCUGCUGUGUGGCUGCACCACUCUGCAGGCGUUGGCUGGGCGCGGGGACCUCAGUGCAGAGCAACGCGUCCGCUCCUCCAGGGACCAGAGCUGCAGCAGGUGCAGCCGCGCCGGGCUUGGCCCAGGGCUUCCAGGCAACAGAAAAACGCUUACAAAAAGAAAAAGCAGCUUUAAUUUUGAAAACAAUUGCGUGUGGAAGAGUGCUGUUAAUGAGCCUUAUGGCUGGGAGGUGGCAUGGCAAUGCAGAGCUUACUGGCAAACAGCAUCCUGCUCGGGCAGCCUGGGUACUGAGAGGUUGGAGACGGUACCUAAGCUGUGCAGAGCGCAGUGAGCGUCCUAGUCCCUUUGUCUGAACAUUUACACAUGGCAGGAGGAGCUAGGACAGGCGGUCAGCAGUGUUAAACUUUAGUGGGAGGAAAAGGCAGAGAUGUCCUGUACACUGUACACUGUCAUCCAUAUCUCAGAGCAAAUCUCUGGGCUCGUGGUACGAGGGACCUGCUCUGAGACGGGGAGUCAUGAAGGACUAACUUAAAAAAACACAAAGCAACAAACACACCGUGGCGGCAGGUCAGCGGCACAAUCCCCCGUUAAGGAGGUGACCCCUCCGCUGAGCGCAACGUGUCUGAAUGUGCCGAAUCUGCGUGUUUCAGCAGCAAGGAAAAGUCUAAUCCUGGCUUAUGCCUGCACAGUGCUCCUGACAAGGGGGCUCUCGGUGGUGGCUGCUGUUCCUGUUGGUUACUCCCUUAUGACCAUGUUUUACAUUCUUCAAGCCGGUUAAUUUCCAUGCAGUGCUCAUUCCCAAUUUAAAGAGGACAGUAUUCCAGAAAAUGGGCUCUUUUUUUUUCUAAUGCAUACUGUGAAAGAAAAGAAAUACAAUUACCGAUCUUCAUGGGUCUUCAGGGCUGCUCGUUUCUUUGCCUGUUUUUCUCCCCAGAAACAGUAAAAAUCUCCGCACCGAGCAUUACAUCCCCGUAACGAACCCUUCGUCAAGCAAGACGCUGGGCCGUGUCACAAAGCCCGUCACUCCCCCUGUGCCACCACGGGCACCACCGAAGCCAGACCCUGCGCCUCGUUCACAGCUCGGGGACAAAGCUCAGGCGACCUUUACUUUGUUCCGUGGUUAGGUGUGUGGCGGGGAACGCAGUGCCCUGAACUAUUGCUUUACCAAAACCUUCCCCAUUAGCUGAGCGAGCAGCAGCUGGCGAGGGGACCCAGGGAGCCCAUCGCCAGUACCAGCUCCUGCCUCCACCUGUGUGCAGAGCCUCGGGCUGGCUCCACUCCCUGGGCUUGCGUGGUGGCCCCGCAGCCCCAGCAGUGCCACCAGACCCUUCUCCACUGCAGUGCCCCAUGCAACACCCCUCUGGUACCGCACUGUGCCGAGGGAGCCCUGACAGUUCUCCUAGACUGUGCCCCAUGUGUGGGCGGAGUUAAUUAAACAUUAAUUUGCCACGUAAAUGCCCUGCGGGCACCUCACAGAGCCACGUAAGGAAGGCCGGCCNNNNNNNNNNCCUGCGGACACCUACGUGCUGUAAAAGCCAGUGGCCUCACAGAGCCACGUAAGGAAGGCCGGCCGGGCGCGGGGUUUGCUCUGGGGACAGGGCUGUGCUCCAGGGGGAGUCACAGGAGCGGGGCGGGCUCUCCUGCCGCCCCCAGGCAGCUGCAGCCAGCUGCACGCUCUACCUGCACUGAGGGGGCCGCUGCCUGCUGCAGGCUCUGCCCAGCUCCCUUUAUUUCGCUUCCUGCAAUGACAAGGACGUUAUUCCUUGCUGGGAGGGGUGAGGCAUAUCCUUUGGG